Molecule: ribosomal RNA, 492 nt
Filed under: uncultured bacterium
Lineage: Bacteria
Description: partial 16S ribosomal RNA
Rfam family: Bacterial small subunit ribosomal RNA
Source: RNAcentral
AGUGAACGCUGGCGGUAGGCCUAACACAUGCAAGUCGAACGGCAGCGCAGUAAGAGCUUGCUCUUACGGGUGGCGAGUGGCGGACGGGUGAGGAAUACAUCGGAAUCUACUUUUUCGUGGGGGAUAACGUAGGGAAGCUUACGCUAAUACCGCAUACGACCUACGGGUGAAAGCAGGGGAUCUUCGGACCUUGCGCGAUUGAAUGAGCCGAUGUCGGAUUAGCUAGUUGGCGGGGUAAAGGCCCACCAAGGCGACGAUCCGUAGCUGGUCUGAGAGGAUGAUCAGCCACACUGGAACUGAGACACGGUCCAGACUCCUACGGGAGGCAGCAGUGGGGAAUAUUGGACAAUGGGCGCAAGCCUGAUCCAGCCAUACCGCGUGGGUGAAGAAGGCCUUCGGGUUGUAAAGCCCUUUUGUUGGGAAAGAAAAGCAGCAGGUUAAUACCCCGCUGUUCUGACGGUACCCAAAGAAUAAGCACCGGCUAACUUCGUG